Molecule: transfer RNA, 91 nt
Filed under: Candidatus Competibacteraceae bacterium
Lineage: Bacteria; Pseudomonadati; Pseudomonadota; Gammaproteobacteria; Candidatus Competibacteraceae
Description: tRNA-Ser
Rfam family: tRNA
About the family: Transfer RNA (tRNA) molecules are approximately 80 nucleotides in length. Their secondary structure includes four short double-helical elements and three loops (D, anti-codon, and T loops).
Source: RNAcentral
GGUGGGUUGGCAGAGUCCGGCUUAAUGCGCUCGUCUUGAAAACGAGAGACCGCCGCAAGGCGGUCCGGGGGUUCGAAUCCCUCACCCACCG